Molecule: long non-coding RNA, 1062 nt
Organism: Nicotiana tabacum (common tobacco)
Lineage: Eukaryota; Viridiplantae; Streptophyta; Magnoliopsida; Solanales; Solanaceae
Source: RefSeq, a predicted model, not a curated record
AGAUGCUAUAAACUCUAACAAUCCAGCUUUUCACUCUCCUAAAUUCCUAAUUCUCUGUUUCUCUCUCCUUCGCUACUCUACUAUUUUUUUUCAUGCUUUGCUACUUCAACAAUUGAAGGAGAAGUUCAAGAUGUCAUCUUUCUUUAGGUGAGUGGUUCAAUUCUUCUGGGCUUUUCUAGAUCUAUAUUUUUGAGUUCUGUUCUCUUUUUAUGUUUAUAUUUAGUUCAUGAAUUCUGUUUUUGUUUCUCCGAUUUUACGUUAUGCUUGCUACAAUCUUCUAGCAUCUACUGUGUUUGUAAAAGUCUGGUAAGUUUUUCCCCCUAUUUUUUUUAUUUCUUGCACCGUUUUCUGGCUUUCACUUAUAGAUUUCUUUGAAAUUUCUGUGUAUUUUUUGUUUGAUGUUGGUUUCUCUGCUCUUUUAAAUAAUUUCUUGCAAGAUUUCUACAUGCAUGUCUUGUAUUUUAUUUGAUUUUGAUAUUCAUGUUUGGAAAGAAAUACCUAGGUGCGUGUCCUUAAACUAAAUGAUUUUGGGGUAGUGGUGGUUUUUCACGUUACAGCCAUAGUCUUGAAUUAACCCUAUGCAUUUUAUAGAAUCAGGCCAUUUAACAUUGCUCGGGAUAUAGAUUACAGAGUAGCUUUGAAGGAAAGUGUUCUUAUCAUACAUGACAUGACUGUCAAUUAUGUAGAAGGAGAAAUGUUGAUACAUGCAGUAUAAGGAUUUAAAUCCUGGAUCCGCCUCUGCUGGAGAUAAUGCAUAGGAAAGAAAAAAGAAGCUAAGCAGUUAUCCCGAUGAUGAGAAUCCUAAGGCGAUGGAAUGCAGGGUUUUCUUCUGGCCAACAGGCCAAGGAAAACUACUUGAUAGUGCUUGAUGGGUGGCUCAUAUAGAGAGAAGUGGAGGGUACCUGUGGUUGCACUCACGCUGGUCUCAUUAUUCCUGAGAAAUAUCCUGAGGAAACGACUACACGAAGACAAUCUCAUAACUUAAGGAGUGUACUUGAUCCAAAUGAUUUGAUGAUAUCAAGAUUUGAACGGCUCGGAGGUCAAUUCAAGCAAGAAGGCGAU